CAGUGUUCGCUGCCCUCACGGGUAGCAAACCUCACCCUUGUGUAUUAUAUCUUUGUUGCUUUGGCACGCCGCCUUCGGGUACCGGCUUCGGCUGGCUCGCGCGUGUCAGAGAACCUAAAACUCUGAAUUAUAAUGCCGUCUGAGUACUAUAUAAUAGUUA
Molecule: unclassified non-coding RNA, 160 nt
Filed under: uncultured Helotiales
Lineage: Eukaryota; Fungi; Ascomycota; Leotiomycetes; Helotiales
Description: sequence contains ITS1
Source: RNAcentral